RNAcentral lists this ribosomal RNA (497 nucleotides) under uncultured bacterium. RNAcentral's name for it is "partial 16S ribosomal RNA". It matches the Rfam family "Bacterial small subunit ribosomal RNA", at positions 28 to 507 of the family's 1533-position model. The record is from RNAcentral.
GAUGAACGCUGGCGGCGUGCCUAAUACAUGCAAGUCGAGCGAACAGACGAGGAGCUUGCUCCUCUGACGUUAGCGGCGGACGGGUGAGUAACACGUGGAUAACCUACCUAUAAGACUGGGAUAACUUCGGGAAACCGGAGCUAAUACCGGAUAAUAUAUUGAACCGCAUGGUUCAAUAGUGAAAGACGGUUUUGCUGUCACUUAUAGAUGGAUCCGCGCCGCAUUAGCUAGUUGGUAAGGUAACGGCUUACCAAGGCAACGAUGCGUAGCCGACCUGAGAGGGUGAUCGGCCACACUGGAACUGAGACACGGUCCAGACUCCUACGGGAGGCAGCAGUAGGGAAUCUUCCGCAAGGGGCGAAAGCCUAACGGAGCAACGCCGCGUGAGUGAUGAAGGUCUUCGGAUCGUAAAACUCUGUUAUUAGGGAAGAACAAAUGUGUAAGUAACUAUGCACGUCUUGACGGUACCUAAUCAGAAAGCCACGGCUAACUACGUG